Long non-coding RNA from Xenopus laevis (African clawed frog), 860 nucleotides. RefSeq lists it as uncharacterized. The transcript is spliced from 4 exons. NCBI's taxonomy places the organism in Eukaryota, Metazoa, Chordata, Amphibia, Anura, Pipidae. The record is from RefSeq and is a predicted model, not a curated record.
AAGCCAGAUACACACCUACUCCAUUUCCAAACCCUACUGACCAGCAAGUGAUCAUCAGCACGAGGAUUAAAGGUGAACGAAAGGUUAAAUCUAAUAGAAACAAAUGGGUCAAAAAGAUGCUCCAACCUCCAGAAUACCAGUAGACCAAUACAGUAAACCAAUAGGAAGACAAGACUACAAGAAAAAACAAGCCUGUAUUAAAAGCAACAAGAUUAAAAGCUGAAGCCAAGGAAACAGCAAUAGGGAUAAAGGAGGUGAUCCUGGUCACCAUUGCUGUCUUGGUGUUUCUGUUGCAUUCUGCGCCUUCUUCUUCCUUAACUUGACAAAGACAGACAUUGAUAAAGACUCCGGUAUCUAGUAUCUUCAGAAUAAUUUCUCGUUGCAUUUCAUAGGUCCAAAUUGGUGAACGAUUAUAAAUUUGUUACAAUUUUUUUUUGCAGGAUGUAAAUGUGCAUUGUACUGUUCAGACAUUGUGUUUAUAUAAUCCUUGCCAUAAUAAUGCUGUAAAAGUAAUUAAGAAUUUUUGGGUGACUGAUAAUUCCAAUAUGCUGUAUCCUCAAGUAUUAAUGCAAAAACCAUUUUAAUUAGAAAUCUCAGAAUAUUUUUCACAUUUUCUUUUUUACUUGAUGAUGAUUUUAUUGUUAUAAUUAAUGAUUUAAAGAACAUUUUUUAAUGCCAGUUUUGCCAAUUUUUAAUCUCCCAUUAUCAAUAUAAGCAGAUGCAUUUUCUAGCAUCUCGUCAAGGAUGCUGAAAUGAGUUCAUCAAUGCUGUACUGUGAAUUUUACUUUAUUACAUAAUGAAAUGUAAUAUACUGGGAGCACACAAUUAUAACAGGUCAAAUUUAUAAAUAAAAUAUACAU